AUGGAUUUCACGGCCCCCUCCUUCUCCCUCGGCCUCGACCUCGACGACCCGACCCCCGCCGACGCCGACGACGGAGGCGACCCGCGCGAGGAGGCGCGAGGGUUGCGGAGGGGUCCUGCGCCGGGUUACGAGGCGCCCGACGCGCCCUCGUUCUCACUCGGAAUCGACGACGACGACAACUUCGUUGCCGGCGGAGCCCUUGACCCGGACCCCCUGCCUCCGCAGCCGGAGACGAAUCGACUGAAGAGGUUGCGGAGAGGCCCUGCACCGCGUUCUAUGGCGCCUCCUCCUCCUCCUCCUCCUCCUCCUCCUCCUCCUCCUCCUAGGGCAGCACCGCCCCUGGCUACGGAAGCAUCUCCGGAUUUCAGCCGGAAGGCGGCACCACUUGGGGAUAUUGGGAGCUACGAGGACGAAAUUGAAGAUUUCAGUGACGAGGAGCCACCACGAGGCAUGACACCAUCAGUUGGUAGUUGCAGGACUUCUAGCAAUUCAAAAUUCUCUCUUCUGAACCGCAGUGUACUGAUGACUCAAUCAACAAGCAAAGCCAAGACAACAAAAUCUACACCAAUGUCAAAUUCUGUUGCUUCAAAACCCCUAGAAGAAAGCUGCACGAAGAAGCUACUUCCUAAGAUAACAAUAAGCCCACUGAGGAAAAUUUAUUUUGUUGAUUCGGACACUGAUUCAGAUGAUAACAGGAAACAAAGUAAACCAAAGAAGCCCAUGAGUCCUAUCAAGAAGAGACAGGAAUCCGUGCACAAGUAUAUGCAGAAGAAGCCUGUAUCGCAGCAAAACAGUAAAUCUGAAGGGAGCACUGUUGUCCAGAAGAGUGAAGAUAUACUGAAGGACAGUUGGGCGACACCUGCUCUUGAUGACUUCUGCAGCGAGUAUUUCAAAUCUGUCCAACACUCAACACCAUCCCAGCAGACAAAAACCAACAGUUUUUCUGGCUCCAAGGUUUCACGACCAUACAGCUCUGUUAGUGAAAUUGGGGAACAUUUCCAGCAUGAAAGCACUUCAACCGGAGUUGUACUCGAAGAGAAUCUGACGGACAACCAUCCACCUGCCAUGCAUUAUUUCUGUCACCGUGAUCAGAUGGUGCAGAACCUGGUCCGUGAAAGAUUAAAGCACUUUGUUCCCAUUGGGGCUGGCACUUCCGAGGGAAAUGAGUACAUUGUAGAAGAAAAUCUGAACUACAGUAGGAGCCGGUUUGGCCAGAGUAGUGGUGCUAAUGAUCGGUGGGUGACUCCCAACAGUAGGACUUCUGUCCCAACAGAUUUUGGCAAAAGAAGGGUACAUGCUGGGGGAAGUCAGUCUGGCUCUGGCCAUUGGUUCACUGGAGAGGAUGGCAGGAAGGUUUAUGUCUCUAAAAAUGGACAGGAGUUAACUGGCCGUGAUGCCUAUAAACAAUACAGAAAGGAAAGCGGCAAGGGAUUUCGCAACUUCAAGAAGAAGAAAAGUACAGUCAAGAAGGAAGGUUCUGCUAGAGCCAAACGGGGUUCUUCUACGGCAAACAAGGCCAGUUCCAGUUCCACAGCAAAGCGAAGCUCAGGAGCCAAAAGGAAGCGAUGA
This 1569-nucleotide ribosomal RNA is filed under the name Triticum aestivum (bread wheat). RNAcentral's name for it is "partial small subunit ribosomal RNA". The record is from RNAcentral. Lineage: Eukaryota; Viridiplantae; Streptophyta; Magnoliopsida; Poales; Poaceae.